This 1303-nucleotide long non-coding RNA is filed under the name Capra hircus (goat). Its description in RNAcentral is "lncRNA (ENSCHIG00010012383.1)". Lineage: Eukaryota; Metazoa; Chordata; Mammalia; Artiodactyla; Bovidae. The record is from RNAcentral.
AGGGGAACAGAUUGAUCAUGCACAUUUCAUCAAAAAAGCCUCAGUUNNNNNNNNNNNNNNNNNNNNNNNNAGCCUUUUUAAAUGAAGCAUUGCUGUAAACUGUACAGAACCAUUCAGAACCCACUAAGUGGACGCUCUCAGUACAGUGUUGUGUGAUGUUGUUUUCACUGGCUUUAUCAUAAUGGUUCUGUAUAUAAAGUUGCACGUCCUUGAAUCCAGGAUACAAUCAAAGGAACUUCAGGAAAUAAGCAUUUCUGAAUGCCUGUGUGAAAGCUGCAAAAUUUCUGAUGUCAUGACUUUGAUGAUAUUUCUGUUAAUCUAAUAUCCUUUUAGGUAGCAAGGCCUUUUGGCAUUCUUUGGGACUCAAGUGCUUACAUUCUUUUGGAUUAACAAGUAGCAAAAAAAAAAACCAAAACCCUAAUUUUAUAACUUUUUAAGGUCAGAAUUCUUAUCAAACAAAAUAUUUAAAAAACUGUAAAUGAGAAAAAAUACAAUUUAGCAACUAUCAAAUGAAUUAAUAGUAGAAGAUAAAAAUGUGUAGAGCACCAUUAACUUUCUUCAGCUUUUCUAAGAAUAACAGUUUAAUAUGAUAAAUUCUUGAUUAAUAUAUAUAUAUAUUUUUUAAAGAAACGUUCUUUUACUCUUUUGUGCACAUAGCCAGGUUAGUGAUUGAUUUUCAUGUAUGGGUCCCAGUUAAUUUAAACUUUGUCAUUUUUGCAACAACAUUGAAUUUGUGCUCACCGUUGGUAUUGUUUACUAAAAUAGUAUUUUUUAAGGUGAUUAACAUGUAUUGGGUUGAGACCCUUUUCUUUUUUUCUAUCUCUCCGUCCCUCUCUGAAACUUGCUUUGUAAUUUGAUUUUUGUAUUGAAACGCAUUGUAGUGUAGGUGGCAGCAAUCAAAAUGCCAAUGGUGUCCUGAAUGUUUACAAUUUUCUUUUCUCGGUCUUUUGUUUUAAAUCAUUCUAAAGAGAUUUCAAAGCAAACCAACCAAUCUUUCCUGUUUACAUAUGAAAGAAUUUGGGUAAAGUGGUAUCUGUGUGGGCAUGGGUGCAGGAAGGAGUGGUGUGGGGAGUUGGCUGCGCUGUGCACAGCAUGCUUGUCCUUGGUUUACACAGUGGGGUUUGCUGAUCCACUUUCUAUGCUUCCUUUAAGUGAUGCUUAUCACUCAAAUAUGCUUUUGAGCUUUCUUGGGUUUUUGUUUUGUUUUUUUUCGGUUGAUGUGUUAAGCAGCAGCACUUUGCUCCUUGCCUUCCCGUUUACUGACAUUUGUAGGAGCAGCAGUCUAGCGAGCCUUCCAGCCUGA